This 107-nucleotide small nuclear RNA is filed under the name Marmota marmota marmota (Alpine marmot). Lineage: Eukaryota; Metazoa; Chordata; Mammalia; Rodentia; Sciuridae. The record is from RNAcentral.
GUGCUCGCUUCGGCAGCACGUAUACUAAAAUUGGAACGAUACAGAGAAGAUUAGCAUGGCCCCUGCACAAGGAUGACAUGCAAAUUCAUGAAGAGUUCCAUAUUUUU